AAAUCACGGUGGUUCGCGUGAAUUAAACCACGGCAACCACGUCCCCCUUUUUUCCAUUAUUCACGCAAACCCUAACCCCCAACAUAAAGAAGAACAAUCGCAGCAACAAAUUCUUUUCCUUUGUUUGUGAUAAUCAAGUUUCACAAGAGAAGAAUAGCAGAUAUUUUGUUCCACAGUUAAUACUACCAUGGAUCUAAGCAACCCGAACAACCCGCCACAAACCCCGUGGACGACACCCGUUGAUCCGAUGUUGAGCGUCUAUUUGGGGUUCUACAACAAAAAUGGCACAAAGUUGCAAACCCAGCACGAGCACUUGAACUCAAAACAUUGAGAUAUUGUAUGUAUGCUUGUAUCUUGCUGCAUAACAUGAUUAUCGAAGACGAAGGUAACGCCAUAUGUGAAUAUGAUCCUAACGACAUUCAUGAGAAUGCUGUACCAAUUGAUGAAGGGCAACAAGAAUCUAACAUGUGGGCGUUAUACAACGAGACUACGCAUAACCAUCUUCGUUCGGAUUUGAUUGAACAUGCUUGGCAAUUUGGUCGGGUUAACGACAACGAGUAGUUUUUUUCUUAAUUUAUAAUAUGUAGUUUAAAUUUGGAUGUUAUUUUUUUUUAUUAAUUUGAAUGUUAUGUGGUUUUAUUACUAAAAUUUAUUUAAUUUUA
Molecule: long non-coding RNA, 662 nt
Organism: Helianthus annuus (common sunflower)
Lineage: Eukaryota; Viridiplantae; Streptophyta; Magnoliopsida; Asterales; Asteraceae
Exons: 2
Source: RefSeq, a predicted model, not a curated record